Molecule: ribosomal RNA, 505 nt
Filed under: uncultured bacterium
Lineage: Bacteria
Description: partial 16S ribosomal RNA
Rfam family: Bacterial small subunit ribosomal RNA
Source: RNAcentral
GACGAACGCUGGCGGCGUGCCUAAUACAUGCAAGUAGAACGCACAGUUUAUACCGUAGCUUGCUACACCAUAGACUGUGAGUUGCGAACGGGUGAGUAACGCGUAGGUAACCUGCCUGGUAGCGGGGGAUAACUAUUGGAAACGAUAGCUAAUACCGCAUAAUAUUCAUUAUUGCAUGAUAAUUAAUUGCAAGGUGCACUUGCACCACUACCAGAUGGACCUGCGUUGUAUUAGCUAGUAGGUGAGGUAACGGCUCACCUAGGCGACGAUACAUAGCCGACCUGAGAGGGUGAUCGGCCACACUGGGACUGAGACACGGCCCAGACUCCUACGGGAGGCAGCAGUAGGGAAUCUUCGGCAAUGGACGAAAGUCUGACCGAGCAACGCCGCGUGAGUGAAGAAGGUUUUCGGAUCGUAAAGCUCGGUUGUAAGAGAAGAACGGGUGUGAGAGUGGAAAGUUCACACUGUGACGGUAUCUUACCAGAAAGGGACGGCUAACUACGUG